GGAGAGGAUAAUGGCUGCUGAAGAAAGAAUGCCGUUGGUUGAAAAGAGAGAUGAUCUGUUAGCUGUUUGACAACUACUCUGAGAGGAGGUUUUGAGAGGAGUUCCAGUUGUCUGUUCUCUUGGGUGGAGCUUCCGGCACCUUCCUGUUCCUAAUUACCAGGCUAUCAACCAGCGCUGCGUGCCAUUCUCCGCCAGUUCGUCCUGCAACCAUUGGUGAUUCAUCUGAAGCAGCACUGGUCCUAUUCAACUCAACAUCAACCGUCACCCUGCAAAUCAAAGGUUACAUACUUACCACACUCCUUGGCCUGCCCUCCUGUCUCCCUUGAAUCCACCUCACCCCCAACCCCCCCCAGGACCACCUGGAAUCUGGACCAUCUCCACACAUAUACUCCACUCUGGACACUCUCAUGGCUACCUCCUCCUGUGCCAACCGGCCUGCACCUGCAAGUAAGCACAUCCCCACAGCAAUGUCUACCCUCCUCAGACCACUCUCUUGUUUCCCUGUCCAGUAACAUUCCUCUCCUCUGUUGCACAAUUCCCUGUUUCGUGCUCUCCUUGUGAUCCCCGUGCCCAAACGUUUUCUCGUCCUCGGCUUCCCACGGCUCCUGUUCUCCUUCUUGGUUAAAAUCCAUGUUCUGGUUUGAGUUUUGGUUUUUAUGUAAAAAACCUUGUAAAUACUUCAUGCCAGUUGAGUCUUUUUUCAGGUCCAAACCACACUCAAGUCUCCAGUCUGUGACAUUAGUCUGUAGUAAUAGUAACAGGAUGGUCAAUAUCAGUUCUUAAAUGAUAAAUGCCAUAUGUGCACAGUCAAAGCAGACUGUCACAUAAUGAUGAACUCUGUUUUAAAGUUUAGAAUUAUUAGUGGCUAUGUAGAGUCCUUCCAAAUAUAUCCUAAAGGUCUUUUCUUAGUCCUGUAGUCUUUGUUGUUUCUGCUUUCAAACCU
Molecule: long non-coding RNA, 943 nt
Organism: Oreochromis aureus
Lineage: Eukaryota; Metazoa; Chordata; Actinopteri; Cichliformes; Cichlidae
Exons: 3
Source: RefSeq, a predicted model, not a curated record